GCUCAGAGUGAACGCUGGCGGUAGGCCUAACACAUGCAAGUCGAACGGCAGCACAGCAGUAGCAAUACUGUGGGUGGCGAGUGGCGGACGGGUGAGGAAUACAUCGGAAUCUACCUUGUCGUGGGGGAUAACGUAGGGAAACUUACGCUAAUACCGCAUACGACCUUCGGGUGAAAGUGGGGGACCGCAAGGCCUCACGCGAUUAGAUGAGCCGAUGUCGGAUUAGCUAGUUGGCGGGGUAAUGGCCCACCAAGGCGACGAUCCGUAGCUGGUCUGAGAGGAUGAUCAGCCACACUGGAACUGAGACACGGUCCAGACUCCUACGGGAGGCAGCAGUGGGGAAUAUUGGACAAUGGGCGCAAGCCUGAUCCAGCCAUACCGCGUGGGUGAAGAAGGCCUUCGGGUUGUAAAGCCCUUUUGUUGGGAAAGAAAUCCUAUCGAUUAAUACUCGGUGGGGA
This 458-nucleotide ribosomal RNA is filed under the name Pseudoxanthomonas sp. IGS91. Its description in RNAcentral is "bacterial SSU rRNA". It matches the Rfam family "Bacterial small subunit ribosomal RNA", at positions 22 to 472 of the family's 1533-position model. Lineage: Bacteria; Pseudomonadati; Pseudomonadota; Gammaproteobacteria; Lysobacterales; Lysobacteraceae. The record is from RNAcentral.